AACGAACGCUGGCGGCAUGCCUAACACAUGCAAGUCGAACGAGACCUUCGGGUCUAGUGGCGCACGGGUGCGUAACGCGUGGGAACCUACCCUUAGGUUCGGAAUAACUCCCCGAAAGGGGUGCUAAUACCGGAUAAUGUCUUCGGACCAAAGAUUUAUCGCCGUUGGAUGGGCCCGCGUUGGAUUAGCUAGUUGGUAGGGUAAAAGCCUACCAAGGCGACGAUCCAUAGCUGGUCUGAGAGGAUGAUCAGCCACACUGGGACUGAGACACGGCCCAGACUCCUACGGGAGGCAGCAGUGGGGAAUAUUGGACAAUGGGCGAAAGCCUGAUCCAGCAAUGCCGCGUGAGUGAUGAAGGCCUUAGGGUUGUAAAGCUCUUUUACCCGGGAUGAUAAUGACAGUACCGGGAGAAUAAGCUCCGGCUAACUCCGUG
This 433-nucleotide ribosomal RNA is filed under the name uncultured bacterium. Its description in RNAcentral is "partial 16S ribosomal RNA". It matches the Rfam family "Bacterial small subunit ribosomal RNA", at positions 29 to 507 of the family's 1533-position model. The record is from RNAcentral.